GAAAAGGGUUCUUUCAAAAACCCUUAAAACCCACAAAAUUCAACAAAAUUGAAGAAGAAUCAAGUUAAAAACUGGGGCUUUAACUAAUUUCGUGAUCACCCAAGCUAGGAGAUCACAAGGUAUGUUGAAUUUUGUUCUUUGUUUGACGCUUGACAACCUAGGUGGAGGCUUGGGAAAGAAGCGGGUCAAACGGAUCGAGUAUGAGGAAAAAGAGCGUAAUCGGAUGCAAGGUAAGUAAAAGCUUACACCCUUAUCGUAAGAUAUGUAUUUAUUUAUAGAUUAUAAAUGCGACAAGGUUAUAUUCAAAAUACGAUUUGACACGAAAUGAUACGGGUCGGAACGUAUCAAAAGAUGAAAAACCAUGUUUAAUGGUAAAAAUGGGUGAAAUGGUAAUAUGGUCAUGAGAUGACAUAAAUAAAAAGAGAUUUUGAAUGGCUACU
Molecule: long non-coding RNA, 440 nt
Filed under: Helianthus annuus (common sunflower)
Lineage: Eukaryota; Viridiplantae; Streptophyta; Magnoliopsida; Asterales; Asteraceae
Description: sRNA HanXRQr2_Chr13g0590091
Source: RNAcentral